RNAcentral lists this long non-coding RNA (203 nucleotides) under Manihot esculenta (cassava). RNAcentral describes it as "long non-coding RNA (MESC_LNC004526)". Lineage: Eukaryota; Viridiplantae; Streptophyta; Magnoliopsida; Malpighiales; Euphorbiaceae. The record is from RNAcentral.
UGGAAUCUUGUCAGAAAGGGUUUCAGAUUGUUUACCUUGCGCAGGACUGGCCUUAGGGGACUCCUUGUGCGCAAAACUGGACUGCAGAAGAGGAUUGGCGGGUGAGCUUUGCGUUGGGAGCUGAAGAGUUGCGCAUGAAGGUGUUUCAGAUGGCGCAAGGCUCUUCUGCGCAUCCUUCUGGAGGGAGUUUCCCUCAUUCUGUG